This 1606-nucleotide long non-coding RNA is filed under the name Sorghum bicolor (sorghum). RNAcentral describes it as "long non-coding RNA (SBIC_LNC016712)". The record is from RNAcentral. Lineage: Eukaryota; Viridiplantae; Streptophyta; Magnoliopsida; Poales; Poaceae.
CUGGGUACUAACUUUUUUUUUUUGCGGGAACAGCAGGGGAGGCCCCUAAGAGCAUCUCCAACAACUUGGUAAAUCAAGUUGCUAUUCUUAUAAAUUUGACAAAAUCACAAAAAUAUCUCUCCAACAACUUGUUAAAUCAAUUUGCUGCUUAUCAAACUUUCUAUCCACCGGUGCCGCGUGCGGAUAUUUCCGCACUGCGACGCGACUUGCUAUCGCGCGCGGACGGAGUCUCGCGGCCGCCCGCUGCUUGCGCUCGCCCUCGCCCCGCUGCUCGCCCUCGCAGCCCGCCCUCGCCCACGCCUCGCAGCUCGCGACGAACCGCGGCGGACGAACAGCUGACAGCGGUGGACGACGGCCCGCGCAGCUCGCCCUCGCCCACGCCUUGCAGCUCGCGACGAACCGCGGUGGACGACGGCCCACGCAGCUCACCCUCGCUCCACUGCUCGCCCUCGCCCUUGCCGCUCGCGACGGACGGCUGCCGACGGCCCGCGCAGCUCGCCCUCGCCCCGCUGCUCGCCCUCGCCCUUGCCCUUGCCGCUCGCGACAGACGGCUGCCGACGGACGGCGGACGGCGGCCCACGCAGCUCGCCCUCGCCCCGCCGCUUCGCGAGGGACGGUGGCAGAUGGACGGCGGACGGCGGCCCGUGCUCGCCCUCGCCCUGCAGCUUCGCGACGACGGUGGCAGAUGGACGGCGGAGCGGACGGAACAAAGACGAUGGGAUCGAGACACAAAUAGAUUACACUUUCCAGACUUUUCUAAAAAUAUGACAGACACAUAGAGUUAUAGAUAUGUCCUUGGUUGAUUUCAGGAAAGUUCAGGGACUAAUCUGCAAAGUAGUCUGGUUGCGUUAAUCAAAUUGGAAUAGCAAAUUGUUGGAGAGAACACUUUUUUCAUUUGCCAAACAAGAUAGUAACUUGCCAAAUCACAAGAUUUGACAAGUCAAUUUUACUAAGUUGUUGGAGAUGCUCUUACAACUUAGAAUAUAAGGCUUGCAAAGCCCAAAGGCAGAAAAAAAAAGAACAUUAAGGUAUAUUCUCUAACCACAAUUCUAGAAGAAGCUUUACAGUACUUUGCUUAUCCUUGAUGCAAACCAGGCUGAGCUCAUUUUUAAAAUCAUCUAUCAAGUGUAAACGCUUGUGCCACCAAAGAUAGUUUUGUUUCUAGUUGUCCAAAUGAUCCAGCACGAAGUUAUGAUGAUCUGCAGCUGCCAAAGUUGUUUCUAGCUUCAAUGACCAUGUCUAGAACCUGGGUUCUAACUUGUUUAAUUAGGGUGUGUUUUUGGUAGUGAUUCUACUGUUUCUAGAGAAGAACUAUAUGGACAAUCUCUACAAAAAGAUUAUUUUUUUAACGCAACUACAAAAAGGUUAUGGGGUUUUAGAGUCAGAGUUGGAAAAGACUUAUAGAAUUUCUCCACUAAAACUAUAAACCAGAAAAUUCUUCUAUUUCACAGGUGAAUCAGGAAUCAAUUUCUCUCUAAGAUUCUUUUUUGAAGAACCAAAUCUCUGCCUAACAGACCUAAUUUUCAUCAUUAUUCUUUUUUUCAUAAGUCGAUGGGGGAGUGUGUGGGGGUGAGAGAGAGAGAGAGAGAGAGAGAGAGAGAGAGAG